CUAUAAGAGUUAGUCACUGUCGUUACCCUCACUAGAGGAUACGGGAAUACUAACGUUGA
This 59-nucleotide non-coding RNA is filed under the name unclassified sequences. The record is from Rfam.